This is a long non-coding RNA of Lathyrus oleraceus (garden pea), 989 nucleotides long. RefSeq lists it as uncharacterized. Lineage: Eukaryota; Viridiplantae; Streptophyta; Magnoliopsida; Fabales; Fabaceae. The transcript has 3 exons. The record is from RefSeq and is a predicted model, not a curated record.
GGCCUUAAAAGUUAGGUCCCGACCCUAUCUCUAGCUGUGACAUUGUGUUGCUGCUUUGAUGGCGCAAUUGAAUUUGGUGUUUGCGUGAUGUGUGUGCAGGUUUUGUUCUUCAAGUCUUGAUGAUGAACCGUAAUGUGAUUCGGAUCUUGACCCUGCGACACAACAGGAUCAAGAAGUUGCAGAAUGGAUAAGCUCUUUGGUGCAGUGUGAAGGAGAUUACCGAAUGACACAUAUGCAGGCCGAGUAGCACUGAUGCAGAAUGGAGAAGAAGAUUGAGAGUGAGGGUCGUGGAAAGGUGAAGUGAGGUUGAGAGAUAUGAAGAUUGGAGAGGAUUGAAGAACUGAAACGAAAAUGAUGGAGCAAGAUUGUAGUGAUUGAGAUUUUUCCUGCUAUGCUUAUCCGAGGCUGCUUGAGAAUGGCCGGCGUGGAAUGUUUACUAUGUGGAAUGCAUCAAUUGAAUUUAUUUAUAGAAUAUGGGAUCGGUUUGAAUUUAUUUAUAGAAUAUGGGAUCGGUUAGCUUUAGGGAAUAAAAUAUCAGUUAUGAAUGAAAAUGUACAUGAAAUGAUUUGAAUUUAAUUGAAUGUUAUGUCUUGAAUGUUUGGAUAGAAAUGUGGGUUUUAUGGAAUUGAUUUUUUUAUUAGUUUGAGAUUGACUUUAAAUGCUAAUUGAUUAAUGUUUAAAUUCAAAUGGUUUUAAGUGUGUGAUAGACCCAAAUGUUAGAAAGAGGGCUUGGAAUGGAAAAUUAAACAUUAAUAAAGGUUUUAAAAUGUUGAGGGAAUGGUUUCAAAGUUAAUUGAAAAUGGAUUUAAAAUGUUGAGGGAAUGGUUUCAAAGUUAAUUGAAAAUGGAUUUAAAAUGUUGAAGUGAUUUUGACAAGUUUAAUUUAAAAAGGUCAAAAUAUUAAUUAAAAAUAAUAUGAAAUGGUUUCAAAAUGUUAAUUAAAGUUAAUUUGAAAUGAUUUCAAAACUAAAUUGCAAUUGGAUUUGGAAA